GGCGAGAGACCGAUAGCGAACAAGUACCGUGAGGGAAAGAUGAAAAGAACUUUGAAAAGAGAGUUAAACAGUACGUGAAAUUGUUGAAAGGGAAACGAUUGAAGCCAGUCGUACCUAUGGGUAAUCAGCCUUUUGGGUGUGAUUUUGUGGAGCGUGAGGAGUUAAACGCCUUCAUGCCUGCAUAUUCGUGCACUUUGGGUGUACUUGCCCGUGUGUAAGUUAACAUCAAUUUUGGUGGUCAUAAAAUGG
This 249-nucleotide ribosomal RNA is filed under the name Glomus sp. Af1. RNAcentral's name for it is "partial large subunit ribosomal RNA". It matches the Rfam family "Eukaryotic large subunit ribosomal RNA", at positions 325 to 525 of the family's 3401-position model. Lineage: Eukaryota; Fungi; Glomeromycota; Glomeromycetes; Glomerales; Glomeraceae. The record is from RNAcentral.